RNAcentral lists this transfer RNA (84 nucleotides) under Roseisolibacter agri. Its description in RNAcentral is "tRNA-Tyr". It matches the Rfam family "tRNA". From Rfam's summary of the family: Transfer RNA (tRNA) molecules are approximately 80 nucleotides in length. Their secondary structure includes four short double-helical elements and three loops (D, anti-codon, and T loops). The record is from RNAcentral. Lineage: Bacteria; Pseudomonadati; Gemmatimonadota; Gemmatimonadia; Gemmatimonadales; Gemmatimonadaceae.
GGUGGGGUACCCAAGUGGCCAACGGGAGCAGACUGUAAAUCUGCCGGCGACAGCCUUCGAAGGUUCGAAUCCUUCCCCCACCAC